GGCAACCUGCUCGGGUCCCCUGCCACACUAUGGAAGCUUUGUUCUUUUGCUCUUUGCAAUAAAUCUUGCUACUGCUUACUCUUUGGGUCCACACUGCCUUCAUGAGCUGUAACACUCACCGGGAAGGUCUGCAACUUCACUCCUGAGCCAGCGAGACCACGAGCCCACUGGAAGGAACAAACUCCCGCACGCCGCCUUUAAGAACUGUAACACUCACAGAGAGGGCCCGCGGCUUCAUUCCCGAAGUCAGUGAGACCAAGAACCAACCAAUUCCGGGCACGGGAUCAAUUGGGAUUAGAAUUUUAUCCUACUGCUAAAACAUAAAGCAAAAAGGCCAAAAGUGAUCUCACCUUUUCAGAGAAACGCACUUAAAUAGCAGCAGCAGGUGCCUCUCUUUUCUGAGCUUCCCUUCACCUGAAUGUGGUUCUGGUACUUAAAGGUACAUUUCUUUUUCUGCAUCCGCUGCUCUGUUAAGUGAUCACCACAUUCAUUGUUCUCGUUUCUAUUAUUUCUGAAAAAAAUCUUCAGGAUUCUGCUUGUGGGAGUGGAUGACAUUUUUACAGUGUUUACAGACACAAAAUGAACAAGAUGUCUGUGGCAACCCUCAGACCAUUGACGCCUUCUCUCCUAUGUAUCAAAUCACACAUUUGGACGUUGACUGAACCCUCACAUGUCAGAUGCUCAAUAUUGAGGUAUAGUAAAAGGGAGCAUGAACUUGAGAAAAUACGCUUUCAACACAAAGCUGUAAUAAUAUAAGGUCAAAUAAGAUUCUGCAUUGGAGAUAGAAAACUCUGAAGGAAGCUUUAUCUAUUCCAGAAUGUCAUAUAGCUGGUAUAAGGUAUGUACUCUUUUCAGAUUGGCUUCUUUCAUUUAGUAACAUGCAUUUAAAGUCCUUCAAUGGCUUGAGAACUCAUUUCUUUUUAGCACUGAAUAGUAAUAGUUCAUAUUCUAGAAGUACCGUAUUUUAUGUAUCCAUUCAUCUCCUAAGUGUAUCUUUGUUGCCUUCAUGUUAGGGCAAUUAUGAAUAAAACUACUAUAAAUAUCCAUGUGCAGGUUUUGUGUGAACAUAAGUUUGCAACUCCUUUGAGUAGACACCAUAGAGCACACUUGGUGGACUGAAUGCUAAGAGUAUGUUUAUUUUUAUAAAAAACUACCAAUCUCUUCAAAAGUGACUGAGCCAUUUUACAUUGCGACCAGCAAUAAGUGAUGCUUUUGUUCCACAUCCUUGCUAGAAUGUUGUGGUGUCUGUGUUCUAGAUUUUGGUUGUUCUAAUAGGAAUGAAGCAAUAUCUCAUGGUUGUUUUAACUUUUAUUUCCCUUUAUUAUGACAUAAGGUGGGAAUUAUUUCAUAUGUUUAUUUGCUACCUUUAUGUAUUUUCGAUAAUAUGUCUGUCAAGGCCCGUUUUUUAAUCAAGUGUUUUUGUUUUCUUAUUGUUGAGUUUUGAAAACUCUUGGUAUCUUUUAGAUAACAGUCCUUUAUUAUAUAUUUCUUUUGCAACUACUUUUUCCCAGUCUAUAAUGUCUUCUUGUUCUCUUGACAUUGUCUUUUGCAGAGCAGACAUGUUUAAUUUUAAUGAAAUCCAGCUUAUGAAUUAUUUUUUCAUGAAUCAUGCUUUUGAUGUAGUAUCUAAGAAGUCAUUACCAUAUCUAAGGUCAUCUAAGUUUUUCUGCUAUGCUAUCUUCUAAGAGUCCUAUAGUUUUGUGUUUUACAUUUAGGUGUGUGAUCUAUUUUGAGCCUGUUUUGGCAAAAGGCAUAAGAUCCGAUUAAUUUUUUGCAUGUGGACAGCCAAUAAGUACAGCACAAGAUCCUGAUCUUUUAAAACGUACUCCCAUGGGUUAUACUAUUUUUGAACCAAAACUAUUUAGCAGAUACAAUUUAACCCCACUGUAUAAAUAGAUUGAAAAAGUAAACCAACAAACCAUUUUCCACUUUUUUCUGUUUUCUCUCUGCUUCUAAUGCUGUACUUGAAUUGCUUUGCUACUCAGCAUCCUUUGACUUAUCAUUAAUCAGUUCCAAUGAAGAAGCUCAUCAUGGUCAGGUUUUAGUCAGAACUUAAUGCCCUUGUCUACCAAGUGUAACCUGAAGUCUUAUAGUCACAUCUCUCCUUUAUAUAUAAACUAUCAUCUAAAGAAAACAUCACUCUAUAUGUGAAUUUAUGUGUCUAUCUAGUUAAUUCAAAAUAAAUUAGAAAUAUAUGCAUACAUUUUAUGGAUCACACAUAAUAUUUAUCAAAUCAAUACACAUUUAACAAAAUGACUGUUAGUGAGAUUAUUCAUAACAUAUAAAUUGCCAGAACAAAAGAACCAUGUCUUAAAAUUUUCUGACAGAAACUUGACAAUACAUAGCAUCUAGCAAAGUUGUGGUCUCUUGAAAGCAUUUAGCAACACUUGUUAAACAAUCUGAUCUUUGACAAACCUGACAAAAACGAGAAAUGGGGAAAGGGUUCCCUAUUUAAUAAAUGGUGCUGGGAAAACUGGCUAGCCAUAUGUAGAAAGCUAAAAUUGGAUCCCUUCCUUACACCUUAUACAAAAAUUAAUUCAAGGUGGAUUAAAGACUUAAAUGUUAGACCUAAAACCAUAAAAACCCUAGAAGAAAACGUAGGCAAUACCAUUCAGGACAUAGGCGUGGGCAAGGACUUCAUGUCUAAAACACCAAAAGCAAUGGCAACAAAAGCCAAAAUUGACAAAUGGGAUCUAACUAAACUCAAGAGCUUCUGCACAGCAAAAGAAACUACCAUCAGAGUGAACAGGCAACCUACAGAAUGGGAGAAAAUUUUUGCAAUCUACUCAUCUGACAAAGGGCUAAUAUCCAGAAUCUACAAUGAACUCAAACAAAUUUACAAGAAAAAAACAACCUCAUCAAAAAGUGGGUGAAGGAGAUGAACAGACACUUCUCAAAAGAAGACAUUUAUGCAGCCAACAGACACAUGAAAAAAUGCUCAUCAUCACUGGCCAUCAGAGAAAUGCAAAUCAAAACCACAAUGAGAUACCAUCUCACACCAGUUAGAAUGGUGAUCAUUAAAAAGUCAGGAAACAACAGGUGCUGGAGAGGAUGUGGAGAAAGAGGAACACUUUUACACUGUUGGUGGGACUGUAAACUAGUUCAACCAUUGUGAAAGACAGUGUGGUGAUUCCUCAAGGAUCUAGAACUAGAAAUACCAUUUGACCCAGCCAUCCCAUUACUGGGUAUAUACCCAAAGGAUUAUAAAUCAUGCUGCUAUAAAGACACAUGCACACGUAUGUUUAUUGCAGCACUAUUCACAAUAGCAAAGACUUGGAACCAACCCAAAUGUCCAUUGACGAUAGACUGGAUUAAGAAAAUGUGGCACAUAUACACCAUGGACUACUAUGCAGCCAUAGAAAAGGAUGAGUUCAUGUCCUUUGCAGGGACAUGGAUGAAGUUGGAAACCAUCAUUCUCAGCAAACUAUCACAAGGACGAAAAACCAAACACUGCAUGUUCUCACUCUUAGGUGGGAAUUGAACAAUGAGAACAUUUGGACACAGGUAGGGGAACAUCACGCACUGGGACCUGUCGUGGGGUGGAGGAAGGGGGAGGGAUAGCAUUAGGAGAUAUACCUAAUGUAAAUGACAAGUUAAUGGGCACAACACACCAACAUGGCACAUGUAUACAUAUGUAACAAACCUGCACGUUGUGCACAUGUACCCUAGAACUUAAAGUAUAAUUAAAAAAAAAAAAAGAAAACUUGAAGACUUUGCCUCUGGGUCUAAAUCCUGGCUCUACCAUUUACCUAUUAGCUAUGAGACUUGGUGAAAUUACUUAAAUUCUUUGUUCCUCACUUUUAAAUGUCAAUAAUAGUAUUCAUGGUGUUGUUGCCAAGUGUUACAUAAAACAAUAUAUGAAAGUGCCUAGCACAGUGCAUAGUGUGUCAUAAACUUAGUAGGAGUUAGUUCUUUUUAUUUUGUAAGUCUGCUGCUUGUAUAUCUCAUUAUCUGUCAUAGCAUAUAUUAUGUCCAACCUAUAAUUUAAUCACAGAAAAAUUAAAAUGUGAGAUUCAAAACUCAUCAGAUAAAGUGUUAGUGCAGAGAAAAUAUAAAGUUAACAAUGAUGAUGAAACUUUUAAAGUCUUAGCAUUUUAUUUUAAAAUAUCUGCCCAUUGUAGCCUUUUGCUUUCUUGAUACCAUUUUGAUAGGUCUGACUCUUUUUGAAUGUUCUGAGAUAUGUAAGAUUUUGUAUAUAUUGGACAUCUUCACAACUCUAUUGAGCUGUUUCCUUUAUAGACAGAGACCAUGGGAUCUUAUUUCUCAGCUUCUCAGAAUAAAAUUUAGGUAAAAUCACUGAAAUGCCAAGGGAAAAGUUAAGAGAUGCUAUAGUUAGAGCUGUACUGUCCAAUAUGUAGUGUUUGGCAGCAUUUGGCUAUUUAACCUUGGAAUAUGGCCAGUCCAAAUUCAGAGGUACUGUAAGUUUAAAAUGUAUGUGAGUUAGUAUGAAAAGGUAUGAAAAAAUUAAUGUAACCACCUCAAUAAUUUUAUAGUAAUUAUAUGUGAAAUAAUGCUUUUGAUAUAUUGGGUUAAAUAAAAUACAUUAUUAAAAUUAAAAAAAAUUAACUAAUUUAGAAUGCAUGGGGGGAAAAGCAAAUAUUGAAAUACAAACUGAGUAAAAGGAAUAAAAAGUUCUAAAAAGUACUAAAGCAGUAUUGUUCGAUAGAGCUAUGAUGAUGGAAAUGUUCUAGUGGCUAAUAGCAUUUGUAUAGGAUAGUGCAAAUCAAGGGUUCAUGAACUAGAAUUGAUUAUCACGUCACUGAUAAGACUGCAGGGCAAUUUUAACACUUAAACUCAUUAUAACUGUUUGAAUUUACUUCCUGAUUGAAAUAUUUAGCAUACUGUGUUGAUAACCAUGUAACUAAUAAUUUAAAAGAACAGAAAAAUCAUAUUAUAAAACUACAGAUGGAUAGGCUCAGUGGCUCACACCUGUAAUCCCAGCACUUUGGGAGGCCAAGGUGGGUGGAUAAUCUGAGGUCAGGAGUUCGACACCAGCCUGGCCAACAUGGUGAAACCCCAUCUCUACUAAAUAUAUAUAAAACUAGCCAGGUGUGGUGAUGGGCGCCUAUAUUCCCAGCUACUCGGGAGGCUGAGGCAGGAGAAUUGCUUGAACCCAGGAGACGGAGGUUGCAGUGAGUCGACACGGUGCCACUGCACUCCGGCCUCAGCAACAAAGUGAGACAAUGGGGAAAAAAAAACCUACAGGAAUAAAGAUUGAAUGGCAAAUUUUCUAGACUCAGCAAUUAAUAUCACUGUGAUCCUUUCCUCUUUAGAAAUUGAGUAUAAAUAACAUUUCAGAAAUUAUGGAUAGUAUUUAUCAUUCUCAAUCACAGAUAUACAAAUAAUAAGCCUUUCCAAUUCUUUUUGUGUUUUUUUUUUUUUUGAGACGGAGUCACCCAGGCUGGAGUUCAGUGGCGCGAUCUCAUCUCACUGCAAGCUGCAAGCUCCGCCUCCCGGGUUCACGCCAUUCUCCUGCCUCAGCCUCCAGAGUAGCUGGGACUACAGGCGCCCGCCACCAUGCCCGUCUAAUUUUUUUGUAUUUUUAAUAGAGACGUGUUAUCCAGGAUGGUCUCGAUCUCCUGACCUCGUGAUCCGCCCACCUUAGCCUCCCAAAGUGCUGGGAUUACAGGCGUGAUCCACCGCCCCCGGCUAAGUCUUUCCAAUUCUAUUGAGUAUAACCAUGUGGUUAUGAAAAUGUACUCUGGUGACAGACUUUCUUUUAACCCCUAUACUCAUCUAUAUAUAGUUUCUAGUUGAAGCUAUAUUUUAAAAUGUACCCUCUGCACAUUUUAACAAAAUAACGCAAUCUGGUUAUAAGUUGCAUUACUUAAUGUGCUUUGUCAUUUCAAUGACACAAAAAAGGGUAACUGUACUUAUUUAGAAAAUAUCCUCCAUAUGAAUUUUACAAGAAAUUGUUCCCUUUGCCCAUCCAAGGAACAUCUGGAGCAGAGCGCCCCUUGUGCAUGAGAAUUUGUAAAGUUUAUGAGAUAUGCUCCAGAGAAGCAGUUCUUAAGUUGUGAUGUAUACAUCCUAGAGUGUAUUCAUUGGUAUAACAAACAGAAAUUUGGGGAAUUUUAUGUUUUUUUUUUUAAUCUCAUGCUCUUCAAUUACUAUAUUUUUGUUUUAAAAGCAAAUAAUAAAUUUGUUUACUGCAUAUCAUGUAAUUUACAAACGUAAUUAAAUACACGUAUAUUGAGAUACAAACUCCAAAAAUUUAGCUUAUGAAAUGUGAAAUUUUGAAAUCAUUGACCAAUAUCACUCCAUUGAGAUAGCACAAGCCUUCUAGUUAUUAAUACUUUGGUUUGGUAACAGGAAACAUUUGUUUUUCUUCUAUGUUCACCAAGCCAAAUUUACACACAAAAGCCUCUUGAACUUUUAUUAUUCAAUUUGGGUAUUUUUCAGUCUCUUUCUUUCCAUAUUUUGUGUUUCAGUGUUUUACAUCUGAAAAAUAAAAUAGAAGAUACUGAAAAACUAGGCAUGGAAGCCUACAAGCCAAAGAACAGACUAUAAGCCAAUAGUAGAAUUUCUAAGGUAGCAUAUUCUCUAAACUGUCACUCAAAGUUUCCACUACAAAGGGACACAUUAAUCUGAAACACAAUUCUAUAUAUUUCUAAAGAGCUUCCUCAAAUUUAGCUAUUUAUUUAUGUAAUGGUCCCCACCACUUAUUUGCCUCAUGUGUCCAAAUUUUUUAGUUCUCCAGGGAUGAGUUCACAUUCUACUUUUCCAGAAAAAGUUACUUUAGUGCUUCCUAUCUUAGGCCAUGGUAUUGAAUAUUUUUGACUAAUCAUCAAAACAAGAUACUAUUGUUUUCCAGCAAGGCAUAAUAGUGUGAAAAAAAAAUUUGGAAGAAAAAGCAACAAAUAUUACUUUCACUUCUGCCACAUAUUCUGGUAUUUGGCAAUUCAGCUAAUAUGAGUCUCAAAAUUCUAGUUAUUUAUAUGUUUUUUAGUUAUUAUAUACUAGGAUUCUUUUGUUUCACCAAAUUUUCAAAAUAACAAUAAAAUAACACUAUUCAUGUGUGUAAUCAGUCUUUGCAAUAUAUCAGCAAUGCAGAUCCAAUUAUAAUCAACCACUGGAGUGUCAUGUGCCAAAUAUAACUUUGAAAUAUUAUCAUGUUUUACGUUUACUGCUGAAAGAGAUUAAUCUGGACUAAGAAUUCUGACUUCAUAGCUGCAGUCUCCUGAGAGGCUCUGUCAGAAACAGACUAAUUUAGUUUACUGCAAUCAAAAACAAAUUAUGUCAUCUCUAAAUUUGUCUUCCAAAUGACCAUGAGGAGAAGCAGCAUUGUUUCUAAAAACACUAGGGACUGAAACUCCAAACAAGAGAAAGUUGGUAUGCUGCAGAAAGAAGAAUGUUUAGUUUCAACAGUGCAAUUAACACCCAAACCUUAGGCAAUUAUGUAGCAAAAUAAAUAUGACUAUAUGCAAAUAUAAAUAUGACUAUAACUUCAUAGCUAAACACUAGAAAUAUCCAAAGAAAAUAAAGCGGCUAACCAGUUCAAUUAAUCAAGGCUCUAUAACCAAUUUUAACAAUGUUUGCAAAUGAACACUCUCUUUUUGGUAUAUCAUUGCAAUAAAAAUAUUUUAAAUAAAAACAAAAUUAGGCUUUCACAGGUAUUGUUAUUUUCACAUAGCUUGUAUUUUUCAUAAAAUCCAAAAUAUUUUCAUAUUUCUUAUCAAGCCAUUACUCAUAAUUUUUAUACUCCUACAAAAAGCACAAAUUAUUAUUAUGUUAUAGAAAUACAUUUUUUUAAACGUGAUGCCUCAUGAUAGGAAAAGUAAAUAACUUAUGAAUUAAAAACAUGAAAGGAAAUCACUAAGUUAGGAGUAAAGCAAAAUUUCGUAUCUAAGUUCUUGGGAUCUGGGCUAUAUCCCAGAAAUAUAAAAUAUUGAAAUCAAGAUGUGAGUUCAAACAAAAGAAAAAAAUAAACGUCUAGCAGUUUUGGGAAAUGUAUUACUGACUCCUGUAAAAUGGAAUGCAUUUUCUAAGAGAAGUCAUAAGCUAUCACAGACAUAGAACAUAUUUAUUUAUCAAGUAUGGAAAAUAUGUGAAUAAUGAUGCAAGAACAUGGGAAAGCAGAUAUUGCUUUGACAUACUGAUUUCAUUUCCUUUGUGUAACUACCCAGUGCUGGGGUUUCUGGGUCAUAUGGUAGUUCUACUUUUAAUUUUUUUUGGGAACCAUUAUACUAUAUUUUUCAUAAUGAUUGUACUAAUUUACAUUAUGACUAACAGUUUUGUAUAUGGAUUCUCUUUUCUCUACAUCCUCUUCUAACUUGUAAUCUUUUGUCUUUUGGACAAUAGACAUUCUAACAGGUAUUAAGUGAUAUCUCAUUGUGGUUUUAAUUAGGAUUUUCCUGAUAAUUACUUAUGUUGUGAAUUUUUUUAGAUACCUUUUGGCCUUUUGUCUGUCUUCUUUGGAUAAAUGUAUAUUCAUGUCCUUUGCUCAUUUUUAAAUCAGAUUGUUUUCUUGGUAUUCAAUUGAGUUCCCUAUAUAUUUUGGAUAAGAACUAAUUACCAGAUAUUAACUAAUUUGUGUGGUUUGCAAAUAUUCCCCCCCAACAGACUUAUUUAUUAAGUAGAGGAAAUAUCUAGAUGUUUUCUAAACCACCUACUAACUGUUGGAUACUAUAUUAAUAUAAUUAAUUUUUGAUCUUUUUAUAAAACUUAUCUUACUGUUUUUCAAGGUAAUUGUAGCCUCUUGUCUUUAGAAUGAGUCAUUAAACACACACAAAAGUUAAAAACAAUCAUAUUUUUUAUACAAUUAAUUAAGUGUCUUUGAAACACGUCUAACAAUAAAUGAUAGAAAUAUGAAGGGAAAAGAUUUAUGUGACAGUAAGUAUGGCUGUAGAAAAUCUAAAAUGGCUUGAUUGCGAAGUGUAAAUAGUAUGCAACAAACAAAGCUAAAAAUAGAAAUUUAAUUUUAAAUGAUGAGGGAAAAGUCAUAUUAUUAGUUUUCAAAACGUAUUUGAGAGUCACAGUAAAUAAAACUGCAUGAUUAUAAUACAAUAAUACACAAAUAGAAAAGGGAAGUGAGUUUUGUGUUCUUUAAAAUCCAUGGGGAAUGAAUAUAUUGCUUAGAUGUUGUAAUAAACUGAGACUAUUUCUUACAUGUUCAGAAACAUUCAAAAACUUACUAAAAUCAGGUUGUGUGAUGCCUCCCAAUUUGUUCUUUUUGUUUAGUCUUACUUUGGCUAUGCAGGCUCUUUUUUGGUUCCAUAUGAGUUUUAUAAUUGUUUUUUCUAACUCUGUGAGGAAUGAUGGUAGUAUUUGAUGGAGAUUGCAUUGAAUUUGUGGCUUGCUUUUGGCAAUAUGGUCAUUUUCACAAUAUUGAUUCUACCCAUCAGUGAGCAUGGGAUGUGUUUCCAUUUGUUUGUGUCAUCUAUUAUAUCUUUUAGCAGUGUUUUGUGGUUUUCCUUGUAGAGGUAUUUUGACUCCUUUGUUAGGUAUAUGCCUAGGUAUUUUAUUUUUAUUUUUUUGGCAGCUAUUGUAAAAGAGGUUGAGUUCUUGGCUUGAUUCUCUGGUCACUAUUGAUGUAGUAGAAGAGCUACUGAUUUGUGUACAUUCAUCUUGUAUCUGGAAACUUUGCAGAAUUAUUUUGUCAGUUCUAGGAGCUUUCUGGAGGAGUCCUUAGGGUUUUCAAGGCAAACAAUCAUAUCGCCAGCAAACAGGGACAGUUUGACUUUCUCUUUACUGAUUUGGAUGCCCUUUAUCUCAUUCUUUUGUCAGAUUGCUCUGGCUAAGACCUCCAGUACUAUGUUGAAGAUCUGAUUUCAAACUAUACAAUAAGGCCAUAGUCACCAAAAUGGCAUGGUACUGGUAUAAAAAUAGGCACAUAGACCAAUGGAACAGAAUAGAGAGCCCAGAAAUAAACCCAAAUACUUACAGCCAACUGAUCUUUGACAAAGCAAACAAAAACAUAAAGUGGAGAAAGGACUCCCUUUUCUCAAAAUGGUGCUGGGAUAAUUGGCUAGACACAUGCAGGAGGAUGAAACUGGAUCCUCAUCUCUGACAUUAUACAAAAUCAACUCAAAAUGGAUUAAGGACUUAAACCUAAGAACUGAAACUAUAAAAGUUAUAGAAGAUAACAUCAUAUACAUCAUAUAUAUCAUAUAUGUGUGUGUGUGUGUGUGUGUGUGUAUAUAUAUAUAUAUAUAUCUCACAGUUAGGAAUACUACUCAGCCAUAAAAAGGAAUGAAUUAACAGCAUUUGCAAUGACCUAGAUGAGCUUAGAGACUAUUAUUCUAAGUGAAGUAAAUCAGGAAUGGAAAACCAAACAUUGUAUGUUCUCACUGAUAUGUGGGAGCUAAGCUAUGAGGACGCAAAGGCAUAAGAAUGAUGCAAUGGACUUUGGGGUCUUGGGGAAAAGAGUGGGAGGGGGGUAGGGAUAAAAGACAACAAAUAUGGUGCAGUGUAUACUGCUCGAGUGAUGGGUGAACCAGGUUCUCACAAAUCUCCACUAAAGAACUUACUCAUGUAACAAAAUACCACCUGUACCCCAAUAACUUAUGGAAAAGUAAAAUUAAAAAAACUUACUAAAUAUUGAGCACUAGAAGGAUGCUUAAAAUAUCUGUGGCCAAUUUAGACAAUUUGGUAUUAUAGAAAAGAUUAAAAUAAUAAAGUAUGUCUUUGUGCUUCAACCUAGAAUAUCUUCAAAAUAUAAUGUUAACUGAGUAAAAGAAAAAGUAGAACACAAUGAAACAUAAUUUCAUUCUGAACAAAUAAUAAAUGAAUCAAAACUAUUUUAUUUGUAUGUUUGCAUGUAUGUAAAAAUAUUGAAGUAAUUCUAAUAAAUAAUCAUCAAAUUUUGAGUGAGAGUGAAAAAGGUGGUUGAAAGAUUAUUUAAAAUUUACUCCAUAGAUUUUUUUUAAUUGUUCACAUUUUAAAACAAUAGUAUAUGUAACAAAAGAGAUUUUAAGUGCUGUGGUGAGCUACUGGAAAAAUACUGGAGGACAUUAGGGCGGAGCUUGUUCAAAGUGAUCAGGCCAUCUAUAUUGUGUAAUGGCUGAUUGUUUACAAAAGGCUUCUACACUCCCUUGCAUAAUUGGCGACAGGGGCUCUUUCUUUCUUAGAGCUUUGUUGAGCUGUAAUAGAUUAAAAAAAAAACUGCACAUAUUUAAUGGCUACAAUUUGAUAAUUUGAACAUAUGUAUAUACUUAUGAAACCAUUACCACAAUUAAGGUUAUAAUCAUAUCCAUAACCUCCAAGAGCUUCUCUAUGCUCUUUCUUGUGUAAGUAUUUUUUCUUGUUGUUUUUGCAUGCCUGUGUGUAUAUGUUUAUGCGUGUGUGUGUGUGUGUGUGUGUGUGUAUUACAAACACUUAACCCAAGAUCUUCCCUCUUGACAAAGUUUUUAAGUGUAUAAUAUAGUGUUGUUAAGUAUAGUCACCAGGCUGUACAGCAGAUCUCUAGAGCUUAUUAUCUUAUCUAACUGGAACUUUAUACCCAUUAAACACCUUCCACUUUCCUCCUCCCUCAAGCCCCCAGCAACAACCAUUCUACUCCCUUCUAUGAGUUUGACUAUUUUAGAUAUCUUAUAUAAAGAAAAUGUAGCAUAUGCAUACAGUGAAAUAUUAUUCAACCUUAGAAAGAAGGAAAUUCUUCCAGGUCUGACAACGUGGAUGAACCUGGAGACCAUUAAGCUAAGUGCAAUAAGCCAGUCACAAAUGACAAGUAUAGCAGUAUCUUCCUUGAGAAAGGGGUUUCUGGGUUGUGGAACUGGCCAGAGACUAGAAUAAGAUGUACAUCUUAAAGGGGAAAAGAAAGUGUUCAUAAUUGCAAGUUUUCUGCAAGUAGAUGUUUGGGAGUUCAGGGGCGUACAGUCAGGAAGAAACCUGUCUAAAGUUUAGCCAAACUGAGAGAAACAAUGUUAAGGCCUUCUUGGUCAAUACUAUUUGUGUCAACAUUCCAAAGUGAGGUUUUGACUUGAAAAUAAGCAAACUUUCCCAUGAGGACCUUACACAAUAUUUUUCUCACUCUACUCUUUUCUCCAUCUCUCCGUAACAGAGAAAAACAUUGGGAAAUUAAUCUACUAUCAAUGUACAGAAAGUCAAUUCUUAAAUAUAAGCUGUAACAAUAAUGAAACAUAAUAUUGUUUAAGUUUACCCAGGUUAAGAAACAUUCCACCUAAGUUAUCUGAUCAGCAGUUUUCAAGCUUGAGUCCAUUAUUAUAUUAAAUUGCAGAGUUAAUUGUUGCGAGUUUUUCUAAGUGUUUUUACCUAUUACCUACUGUAAGGAAUCCAUUAUUUGUAUUAAAAAAAUAAAAAGAAAACAUUGAUUUAAUUCUGUUAUAUCUAUGUAACUUUGAAAAGAUAUGCUAUACAGAUAAUUUGUAUGUAAGAAUACCCUGACAUAUAUACCCUCCUCAGUAGUAUGUAGGUCAUGGACAAUGCCUUUCAUUUCUAUACCACAAUGAAUUAAGUCAAUGCCUCACAGGUAGUGAAAACUCCAUAAGAAAUGGCUGAAUUCACAAAUGAAUGAAUGAUAAACUGGAUAUUUGGUGUGAUAUUAGUUGUAGGAAGAUUAUUAUUAACUCUCAUAGUAUUAGUUAAAAGCCUUGUUAUUGUAUGAAAAAUUAUAUCUCUUGAUUUAACAAUUUAAAGGGUUGGAAAAUCCUCUUUAGUGUUUAUUUAAAAAGCUCCUUUGUACAAACAUGGACUUGACCUUUAAUAGUGUAGGAGUCAAUUUUAUGAGAAAAAAAUAAGUGAUCAUUAGAUUAGAAUAUUCUUUUACUUCUAAAUUAUAGCCUUUUCCUCUAUUAUUGUGUUGGAUAUUAUUUAAAUUCCUCUUUAGAUUAAUAGGUGGCCAUUUGCAAUAGAAAAUAUUUUGACAGAUUGAAAGAGCUUUCGAUUUUCUUUUGGUAACAAUUUUGAAAGGACUUUUUUUUAGAAAAAAAUGCAUAUAGUCCCCCACUUCUAUUGCAACACACUUUGCUAAACAUAUUAUGAGUAACAAUCACGUGGUUGUAAGAACACAGCACAUAUGUUUAUUUCAUAUGUAAUAUCUGAUACGUUACCAAACAGCAGUUCCUGAGAGAUACCUUUUUAUACGUUAUCAUAUUCCAUUAUCACAAUUAACAGUAUCUGCAUUUUAAUGGAAGGGAAAACUAGUUCAAAUAUGUCAUUUUACUGUAUCCAGGUUACAAAGCUAUUAUGUUUCGGAGCUAAGAUUUGAAUGCAAAGCAGUUUGUUCCAAGACUGUGCCAUUCCUUAAAUUACCUAUCUCUACUCUUGGUUUUGUUCAUGAAAUUAUUGUGAGAAAAUAGUGCAGAUACUCAGAUUUCUCUUCUGUUUGUAAUCAUUAAGAAAUAAGUGGUUAUCAAAGUCUGUAUGUUUCCCAAGCACUUCGGAGAAAAGAACUUACAUGAAAUCUCUCUGAUCUCUAUCUUCAAUAAGUUUAUAAUGGCCAGAGAAAUAAGGCAAAAACAAAUGUAAGAGGCCUAUCAAUAUUUUAAAACUAAAGCCUAUAGUGGUUAGUUUCACAGGCUCAAAGAACAAUAAUUAAAAUCAAGUUGGAGAAGAGGAUCCAAAAUGAAAAACACACAAAAGCAAAUGAACCUAACAUAGUACAAAUGCAUAUCAUAAUUGCACACAAAAGAGAGUGGAGGUAGUGAAGAAAAGAACUAACUUAAGUAACUUUGGAAAAUGGUAUUUUCUCUAUAUCUGAUAAAACUAAAAGAAAGAACUAUAAGCAACUGUGUUGUUGCAGUAAGUAGCUUGCUUUGCAUGGGGUAUAGAUUAGCAAUUCCACAACUAUUUAAUCUAUAUUCUAGAAUUAAACAAACAAAAUGUGGAUAAUAAGAGGUAGAUUUUUCACUGUCAGAUAAAGCAGAUAAAAAUUUAAAAAUGAAGGCUAAAAUAAACCUUGUGGACCAGGUGUCAGUGUGAACUCAGGUGGAGGGAGGGGAGGUGGGGGAGAGAGAGAGAGAGAGAUGUGUGUGUAUGUGUAUGUGUAUGUGUGUGUGUAUGCAUGUGUGAUGCAUUUAUCUCUAUUCCCUGAGAAGACCGAUAAGUAGUGACAACUCAAUGAGUAUAUCUAAGACCUGGAUAUUAUUUUGUGAAUUUCCAUCUCCAGAAUUAGAAACCAGACUCAUUGGAGAAAUGGAUAAUUGCAGGAGUAGCAUACAAAUGUUCAAAAUGGAACUAGAACCAAUAUAAGAAUGGUCCCAAAACGUAUGAAAGUAUUCAAAGCAUGAUGAAGUUGUGUAAUAGAUAGAAAAUCAAUUUAAGAGGUUCAUAAUGUCCAACCAAACAUGAGACAAUAUGAGCCACAAAAGAUAAUGGUCCAUACUAGAGUAUUACACAAAAAAUAAAAUCAGAAUUCAUGAAUCUACACUAAUGUACAUGAGCAAUGUAAUGCAUACUUUUUUUAAAAAAUAAGGGAAAUUUCUUUAUUAUAGUAGUAUUACAACUAAUGUAAAAUAUAGUAUAAAUUAAAAACCACCAUUUGACAAACAUUAUGGUAAUAGGUAUAACAUGAAUUUUAUCAAUGGAUGGUAAAAAUAAUUGAAAAUUAUGGUAAGAGAAAAAUUUCAAAGAAUCUCAGCAAAACAUAUUUUUAGUUAAAGUAGAAAUGUUGUUAACAGUGGAGAAACUUAGUGGACAACCCCAUAACCAAAUAACAAAAUUAACACAACUAACAAUGGCACAUCUGAUGCCUUGUGCCUGCUGAUAUGAUGCCCUGAGAAAUAAUAACUAAGAAAUAUCACACAAGUUCAAAUUCUACAAAAUAAGUGGCCAAUAUUUUCAAAAAUGUAAAAAUCAUAAUAUUUUUUAAAAGACUGGGAAAACAAAAAAUAAAGGAGAAUGAAAAAGCAUGACAACUAGAUUUAAUCCUAGACAACAAAAAGUACACUUGUAAAACAACUAUUAAAAGUAAAUUAAGUCUAGAGAUUAUAGUAUUGUAUCUAUGUUAUGUUUCCGGCUUUCAUAUUUGUACUGUGGUUUUGUAAUAAGUUUUUAAAAAUAUGAUAUACAAGUAACUAGAACUGUUUCUUUUUGUUUUGCUUUGUUAUUUUCUUUCUACUUUUAUUUUAAAUUCCAGGAUAUAUAUGCAGGAACAGAAUUGUUUUAAUUGAUUUUGCAAAAUUUUUGAUCAUCAUCUGAAAUUCUUUCCAGAUAAAAAACUUAAGAAAAAAAGAUCUAAAAUAAUUCCUUAAUAUAUGCUGAGUCACAUUUUAUCUGCUUCAUGUUAAGAAGAGAGAGAUAAAUACAUAGCCAUUUUGAAAGGCUUUCAUAAAAGAGGUAGGACUAAUGGGUGCCUUAAACAGAGAAAAUAGAGUAUAUAUAUGGAAUCAUAUAAUGAAUGCAGAAAUAGAUAUAGAAUAUUUGAAGUUGCUGAGGGUACAAAUGGUAUCCAAAGAAUAAAUUAUAUUGGUGAGCAUAAAGAUAACAACAACCAAUUGACCACCUGUAACAUUUUUAACUUAAUUUGAUAGACUGCUUACUAUAUAUAUAUAUAUAUUUUUUUUUUUUUUUGAGGCAGGGUCUUGCACUGUUGUCCUGGCUGGAGUGCAAUGGCACAAUGUCAGCUUACUGAAACCUCUGCCCCCCAGGUUCACACGAUUCUCCUGCCUCAGCCUCCUGAGUAGCUGGGAUUACAGGCACACACUGCCAGACACAGCUAAUUUUGUUUUUAUUUAUUUAUUUUAGUAGAGAUGGGAUUUCACUAUGUUGGUCAGGCUGGUCUCGAACUCCUUACCUCGUGAUCCAUCCAUCUCAGCCUGCCAAAGUGUUAGGAUUACAGGCGUGAACCCCUGCAUCCGGCCUCCUUACAAUAUUUUUUAUGGUCAAAAGUGAAUGUGUGUGUAUACGUUGUUAUAAAGAAUGUUUUCAUAAAUGGUUAAUAUUUCGCAUACUCAAAAAAAUAACUAAAAUGCACAAGGAAGAGAUGGAAAUCCAACAUGGAAAUCAAGUGAGUCCACUGAAUUGAUGGAAAAGAAUGGACAGGAUGAAUCUAAGUAACUUUUGAUCUUGUUUUAAUUUUGAGUUAUUUAAAAAAAUAAAUAAAAUUCUUAGCCAUCUCUAUGGCAGACCUAGUUAGACAUAUAAUAUUAGGUUUGUCAGUAAACUUAGGAGGCCAUGUAGUAAUGAACAUAAUCCUGAAUUGGUGGUUUUAAGAACAGAUUUCAUGUUCCUCAUUUUCCAUACAGGAUAUGACAUUGGCCGGUGUUUUGAUGGAUUUGAGUCUCUGUUUUUUACUAAAAUGAAAGUAGUGUGACGAAGUAAUAAUAACACUGAAUUUAGAAAUAAAACCAACAUGCAAAUAUAUGUAUUUGCAUGUUUCUUGAAAGUUAUUGUAAACUUAUACUUUUAUUGUCAGAAUCUGAGUGACUGUGUUUGUAAAUGGGAAUGAUUAUUAUGAACCACAGGAAAUUUUUUUUAGAGUCAAAUAGGUUAAAUGUGAGAUUACUUUAUAAUGUAUGAAACAAUAUGCAAACAUAUAUUUACAGCACUGGUGACUUUUCAAAAAUAAGUCCCCUGACUGCAGAAAAAAAAAAGCAUCUUACGUUUUUUCCUAACUCCAGUACUGAUCACAGUGCCUAGAUUGUAGCAUACAUUCAAGUAUCAUUGAACUGCCUGUACAUAUUAAAGCAUGGAAUUAGGUAUUUCAAAAUAUAGAAAUAAUGUAAAACCUUAUAGGAUGCAUAUACUUUUUGGCUUUAGUGAAUAGAUUAUGCUUCAAAAAGUAUUAUUAAUAUUUUAUAGACAUUUUGUUAACCAGAAAACUCUUACAUUCUUGCCCAUAGCAAUUAAGGCAUUGUCUACUUAAAUCAGUAAAUGUUGGUACAUCAUAACUCCACAGUAAGAUGGUUUUAUUUAAUGGUUCCGUCACACUCUGUUGAAUGUAGUGCUUUUUAUGAGAUUACCCUAUUUUUAAUUGUUUCAUUCACUCGGAUCUUCAGAGACAAUGUAGAUAGGAAUUUAAAAAUCACAGUUAAAUGAAUAUCCUUGUAACUUACAUUUAGUAUGUGCAGGUAUUCAAUGUUUAAGCUUCCAUUUAAAUGUCUUUUUUUGGCAAUUCUCAAAGGAAAUAGAGUAUGUGACACAUGUAAGCCAGCCACAAACUAUAUUAGUUUUAGAAGAUAACUAUAAUAUUUAUUUGCAUGAUUCAUUUUUACUUAUAAAAUAGUUAUACAAUUGUGGACAUAUAUAAUGCUCUAGAGACAAGAAAUAGCUUAUAAGUAUGUUUUCAGAAAUUUGAAUGUAAUUUCAUUUUGCCUAGACCAUUUUCUGAGCUGGCCCAUACUGAGAAAAACAUAUAUGAAUUAUUUAAUGACAUGUUUUCAAUACUGCUUUUAUUACAAAACAUGAUAAACAAAUUUUACUUCCCGCAACAAAUAAUAACUUGCUCAAUAUGCUUUUGUAGUAGAAUUUAGAUAUAGUUCCAAACAAAAAUUUCCAACUUAUUUUUGAAUAGUCAAAUAUUGCUAAUAUAAAUUAUGUAUCUGAAAUAGAGUAAGUUGAGAUUAUUUACUCUGAAAUAUAGUUGAGAUUAUUUACUAAUUUAUUAUUCUUAAUUUUCCGCAAUCUAGUAACAUUUGUGAAAAAGUGAAAUGGUAGUUGCUGGGUAUAAAUAAUGUAUUAAUUCACCAGGCUAUUAAAUAUGUCUUAAAAUAAACAUGUCAUUAUUUGAUCAGAACAGUUGCUUUACUGUUAUUUUUAAACAGUGGCAAGUAAUUUUUUAUUAAAAGUAUAACUCAAAAACAUUAACUAUAUAUGCUGUUUGCAGAUGACAUGAUUGUAUAUCUAGAAAACCCCUGCGUCUCAGCCCAAAAUCUCCUUAAGCUGAUAAGCAAAUUCAGCAAAGUCUCAGGAUACAAAAUCAAUGUGCAAAAAUCACAAGCAUUCUUAUACACCAAUAACAAACAGAGAGCCAAAUCAUGAGUGAACUCCCAUUCACAAUUGCUUCAAAGAGAAUAAAAUACUUAGGAAUCCAACUUACAAGGGACAAAGGGACAUGAAGGACCUCUUCAAGGAGAACUACAAACCACUGCUCAAGGAAAUAAAAGAGGAUACAAACAAAUGGAAGAACAUUCCAUGCUCAUGGGUAGGAAGAAUCGAUAUCAUGAAAAUGGCCAUACUGCCCAAAGUAAUUUAUAGAUUCAAUGCCAUCCCCAUCUAGCUACCAAUGACUUUCUUCACAGAAUUGGAAAAAACUACUUUAAAGUUCAUAUGGAAUCAAAAAAGAGCCUGCAUUGCCAAGUCAAUCCUAAGCCAAAAGAACAAAGCUGGAGGCAUCACACUACCUGACUUCAAACUAUACUACAAGGCUACAGUAACCAAAACAGCAUGGUACUGGUACCAAAACAGGGAUAUAGACCAAUGGAACAGAACACAGCUCUCAGAAAUAAUGCCACAUAUCUACAACUAUCUGAUCUUUGACAAACCUGAGAAAAACAAGCAAUGGGGAAAGGAUUCCCUAUUUAAUAAAUGGUGCUGGGAAAACUGGCUAGCCAUAUGUAGAAAGCUGAAACUGGAUCCCUUCCUUACACCUUAUACAAAAAUUAAUUUAAGAUGGAUUAAAGACUUAAAUGUUAAACCUAAAACCAUAAAAACCCUAGAAGAAAACCUAGGCAAUACCAUUCAAUACAUAGGCAUGGGCAAGGACUUCAUGUCUAAAACACCAAAAGCAAUGGCAACAAAAGCCAAAAUUGACAAAUGGGAUCUAACUAAACUCAAGAGCUUCUGCACAGCAAAAGAAACUACCAUCAGAGUGAACAGGAAACCUGCAGAAUGGGAGAAAAUGUUUGCAAUCUACUCAUCUGACAAAGGGCUAAUAUCCAGAAUCUACGAUGAACUCAAACAAAUUUACAAGAAAAAAACAACCCCAUGAACAAGUGGGCAAAGGAUAUGAACAGACACUUCUCAAAAGAAGACAUUUAUGCAGCCAACAGACAC
This 18894-nucleotide long non-coding RNA is filed under the name Homo sapiens (human). RNAcentral's name for it is "non-protein coding LINC01608:12". The record is from RNAcentral. Lineage: Eukaryota; Metazoa; Chordata; Mammalia; Primates; Hominidae.